Molecule: ribosomal RNA, 253 nt
Filed under: uncultured bacterium
Lineage: Bacteria
Description: partial 16S ribosomal RNA
Rfam family: Bacterial small subunit ribosomal RNA
Source: RNAcentral
UACGAAGGGGGCUAGCGUUGUUCGGAUUUACUGGGCGUAAAGCGCACGUAGGCGGAUCGUUAAGUCGGGGGUGAAAUCCUGGAGCUCAACUCCAGAACUGCCUUCGAUACUGGCGAUCUUGAGUCCGGAAGAGGUGAGUGGAACUCCUAGUGUAGAGGUGGAAUUCGUAGAUAUUAGGAAGAACACAGUGGCGAAGGCGGCUCACUGGUCCGGUACUGACGCUGAGGUGCGAAAGCGUGGGGAGCAAACAGGG